Molecule: long non-coding RNA, 1478 nt
Filed under: Homo sapiens (human)
Lineage: Eukaryota; Metazoa; Chordata; Mammalia; Primates; Hominidae
Description: HSALNT0315290
Source: RNAcentral
UCACUGACUUCAAGAAUGAAGCCGUGGACCCUCACGGUGAGUGUUACAGCCCUUAAAGGCAGUGUGGACCCAAAGAGUGAGCAGUAGCAAGAUUUAUUGCAAAGAGCGAAAGAACAAACCUUCCACAGACUGGAAAGGGACCCAAGCGGGUUGCCACUGCUAGCUCAGGCAGCCUGCUUUUAUUCUCUUAUCUGGCCCCACCCACAUCCUGCUGAUUGGUAGAGCCCAGUGGUCUGUUUCGACAGGGCGCUGAUUGGUGCGUUUACAAUCCCUGAGCUAGACAUAAAGGUUCUCCACAUCCCCACCAGACUCAGGAACCCAGCUGGCUUCACCCAGUGGAUCCAGCACCGGGGUUGCAGGUGGAGCUGCCUGCCAGUCCCGGUGCCGUGCGCCCCCCACUCCUCAGCCCUUGGGCGGUCGAUGGGACUGGGCACCUUGGAGCAGGGGGUGGCGCUCAUCGGGGAGGCUCGGGCCGCACAGGAGCCCAUGGAGGGAGUGGGAGGCUCAGGCAUGGCGGGCUGCAGGUCCCGAGCCCUGCCCCGCGGGAAGGCAGUUAAGGCCCGGUGAGAAAUCGAGCGCAGCGCCGGUGGGCUGGCACUGCUGGGGGACCCAGUACACCCUCCGCAGCCGCUGGCCCGGGUGCUAAGCCCCUCAUUGCCCGGGGCUGGCAGGGCCGGCCGGCUGCUCCGAGUGCGGGGCCGGCCAAGCCCACCCCCACCCGGAACUCCAGCUGGCCCGCAAGCGCCGCGCGCAGCCCGGGUUCCCGCUCGCGCCUCUCCCUCCACACCUCCUUGCAAGCUGAGGGAACCGGCUCUGGCCUUGGCCAGCCCAGAAAGGGGCUCCCACAGUGCAGCGGUGGGCUGAAGGGCUCCUCAAGUGCCGCCAAAGUGGGAGCCCAGGCAGAGGAGGCGCAGAGAGCGAGCGAGGGCUGUGAGGACUGCCAGCAUGCUGUUACCUCUCAAUAAGAUUAACUGACCUCUUCCAUGUUCAAACCAUAUGUAAUUGUAAUUGAAUGGAAGUUAAACAUCUGGAAACCGUUAGGAUUGAAUAGCAAUGAAAGGCAGGAAGCACAAGACUAUGGAAAGUGAUUUUGAACAACCAGGUGGUCCCAAAGAUAACCAAUUGUUUAGAGCCUAGAGGAAAGGGAAGAACCCACAUCUACCAUGAAUGAAUAAAUGGCGACCUGGAAGCAUACUUCUGGUAGCAAUGGGGACACGGGUCAAAGGGGACUUGAGGUUAUCAGCUUUCAGAAUGAAGACACAUAAUCCCUAUUAGAGUGGAAGACUUAAAAUCGAGUUUGAGACCCACCUUCUGAAACUGCAGGCUCUUGGGAGCCUGAUUUCCGGUGAAGAGUGUUGCUGCUUUGCAUUUUUCACACUUGAACACAGUGAAGAAGAUGAACAUUAAUUAGGAUUAUAGUGCCAUGGAGGCUUACUGUGCUGUGAGAACUCACAAGAAAUAAAAUGCCAUUUCUUUUU